RNAcentral lists this long non-coding RNA (318 nucleotides) under Mus pahari (shrew mouse). RNAcentral describes it as "lncRNA (MGP_PahariEiJ_G0003322.1)". The record is from RNAcentral. Lineage: Eukaryota; Metazoa; Chordata; Mammalia; Rodentia; Muridae.
GUGAAGACAGGGUACAGGGCAGAAUGAACCAAUGUUACAGUACCAUGGAAUCUGGUCUCAGCUCUUCCUCCACCCUUCUCUCAGACCAUGGAGGGCAGUUUGUUGGGUGUGGUGACACAGAAUCUAUCUGUGAGGACUGAUCAAUGAUUCCUAUUUCAGAGACAGGAAAGCGAUCAGAGAUGCAAUGAUACAGAGUGGAGUCCACUGGCUCAGACAAAGAGAAAGUCUACUUUGAGCCCCGAAGCCAGCACAGGGCUAUGCCAUAGGUGGGCAGGCACUGGGAAGGAGCUCUCACCUGUGAUUAAACUGGAGAUGAUG